GAGAUGGCUGAGUUGGUCCAGGGCGCCAGAUUAAGGUUCUGCUCCGAAAGGGCGUGGGUUCAAAUCCCACUCUC
Picea glauca (white spruce) is the source of this 74-nucleotide non-coding RNA. NCBI's taxonomy places the organism in Eukaryota, Viridiplantae, Streptophyta, Pinopsida, Pinales, Pinaceae. The record is from Rfam.